AGUAUAAGCAAUUAUACCGUGAAACUGCGAAUGGCUCAUUAAAUCAGUUAUCGUUUAUUUGAUAGUACCUUACUACUUGGAUAACCGUGGUAAUUCUAGAGCUAAUACAUGCUAAAAACCCCGACUUCGGAAGGGGUGUAUUUAUUAGAUAAAAAACCAACGCCCUUCGGGGCUUCUUGGUGAUUCAUGAUAACUUUACGGAUCGCAUGGCCUUGCGCCGGCGACGGUUCAUUCAAAUUUCUGCCCUAUCAACUUUCGAUGGUAAGGUAUUGGCUUACCAUGGUUUCAACGGGUAACGGGGAAUUAGGGUUCGAUUCCGGAGAGGGAGCCUGAGAAACGGCUACCACAUCCAAGGAAGGCAGCAGGCGCGCAAAUUACCCAAUCCCGACACGGGGAGGUAGUGACAAUAAAUACUGAUACAGGGCUCUUUUGGGUCUUGUAAUUGGAAUGAGUACAAUUUAAACCUCUUAACGAGGAACAAUUGGAGGGCAAGUCUGGUGCCAGCAGCCGCGGUAAUUCCAGCUCCAAUAGCGUAUAUUAAAGUUGUUGCAGUUAAAAAGCUCGUAGUUGAAACUUGGGUCUGGCUGGCAGGUCCGCCUCACCGCGUGUACUUGUCCGGCCGGGCCUUCCUUCUGGAGAACCUCAUGCCCUUCACUGGGCGUGUUGGGGACCAGGACUUUUACUUUGAAAAAAUUAGAGUGUUCAAAGCAGGCCUUUGCUCGAAUACGUUAGCAUGGAAUAAUAGAAUAGGACGUGCGGUCCUAUUUUGUUGGUUUCUAGGACCGCCGUAAUGAUUAAUAGGGACAGUCGGGGGCAUCAGUAUUCAAUUGUCAGAGGUGAAAUUCUUGGAUUUAUUGAAGACUAACUACUGCGAAAGCAUUUGCCAAGGAUGUUUUCAUUAAUCAGUGAACGAAAGUUAGGGGAUCGAAGACGAUCAGAUACCGUCGUAGUCUUAACCGUAAACUAUGCCGACUAGGGAUCGGGCGAUGUUCUUUUUCUGACUCGCUCGGCACCUUACGAGAAAUCAAAGUUUUUGGGUUCUGGGGGGAGUA
RNAcentral lists this ribosomal RNA (1052 nucleotides) under Ochraceocephala foeniculi. RNAcentral describes it as "SSU rRNA". It matches the Rfam family "Eukaryotic small subunit ribosomal RNA", at positions 62 to 1125 of the family's 1831-position model. Lineage: Eukaryota; Fungi; Ascomycota; Dothideomycetes; Pleosporales; Leptosphaeriaceae. The record is from RNAcentral.